This 207-nucleotide ribosomal RNA is filed under the name uncultured bacterium. Its description in RNAcentral is "partial 16S ribosomal RNA". It matches the Rfam family "Bacterial small subunit ribosomal RNA", at positions 568 to 774 of the family's 1533-position model. The record is from RNAcentral.
CUCGUAGGCGGCUUGUUGCGUCGGUUGUGAAAGCCCGGGGCUUAACCCCGGGUCUGCAGUCGAUACGGGCAGGCUAGAGUGUGGUAGGGGAGAUCGGAAUUCCUGGUGUAGCGGUGAAAUGCGCAGAUAUCGGGAGGAACACCGGUGGCGAAGGCGGAUCUCUGGGCCAUUACUGACGCUGAGGAGCGAAAGCGUGGGGAGCGAACA